UGACGUUAACUAAAUGAAACCUGUAGAUGUACGUUUUGUUGAUUCAGAACAUUGCGGCACAGCAGAGCUUGAGAAGAUUUACCAAAUAUUGCAUGAGUAGCAAGCUUCACAAAGCAAAAGACUGAGGGAUAAUAUUUUGCAUGACCUCAGUCUUGAAACUCAAGGCUAAUUAGCUCGUCUGAUUGCGACAAACUUGCUGUGUGGAAAUCUGUGACAGGCGUCAUUCCCAAAAGCCUUGGAGUCAUCAGAAGCUUCCUGUGGUGGAGUCUGUAUGUUGGGAGAGCUC
Gambusia affinis (western mosquitofish) is the source of this 286-nucleotide long non-coding RNA. RefSeq lists it as uncharacterized. The transcript has 3 exons. The record is from RefSeq and is a predicted model, not a curated record. NCBI's taxonomy places the organism in Eukaryota, Metazoa, Chordata, Actinopteri, Cyprinodontiformes, Poeciliidae.